UUUGCCACAUGAUCUUUGUGGGUAAAUCGUGUCCACUCAAUUUAUAAAGUUAAUUUGCAUCUAAACAUUUACAAUGCCUGACACAAUGGCAUUACAAUAAUCAAAUGUUUUUGUUUUGCGUUACUGAGUGCAAAGGCCUUUAUUUACACACUGACGCAUGCCAAGACGGCUGUCAUGGCAUGUGUCACUGUCUCUCUCUCUCGCUGUUCUGUCUGUCUCUCUCGGAUUUAGUAAAUUUUUUAGUCUCAGUGUAAAUGGAUGAUUUUAAAGUUGAUUAGUCUUGAGGCGUCGAUUUCUGCAGGAAAUUCUGGUUCCUUAUUUUGAAAUGGCUUUGAUUUAAAAAUUCUAUUUUUGUCUUGAAUCUCAGUUAUCAUAGUUGCGACUUGGAAGCUGAUGAAUCAUGUAGUAAAUACAUCAAAAUUUACUGUAGCUUGUCUAAAGUUCUUUCAAAGUGCUGUAAAAAUGUAGUAAUUGAUUAUGAUGAGCUAGACCAAGUCUUUCUUUAUUAUCAACUGGUAAUUGCUUUGAUAAGAUAACUGGUUCCUGAUUUUGAUUAUGAAGCUAAACUUUUGAUUUAUAUGCAAGUGUAGUCACAUUAGUUUGUAGGUGUUAUUCAGCCCAUGGAUAAUAUUGUGAUCUACUUUAAAUCUGGCAUUUGUUGGCACACUUUUGAUAUCCAUUUAAGUCUUAAACUUUACACACUGCCUUCAGCCUUUGUAGUUGCUAACUGAAAUCGAAUUAAAUCUUAAUGCUGACUUGUCUCACUGUGCCAAGUUUAUUUCCCUCUAAAGGAGUUGAACCUUUUUGUGUUCAUAGUCUUUUUGCGCGUCAUGUUGGGAGGCCUCCCAGCAGGGGAUUUUUAUCUUCCCCUGCAAAACUAUGCGUUACUCGCCUUAGGGAUGCAGGGCUAUCCUGCAUAGUUUCUUUCAAAAAUUAGAUUGUAGGUUGCAGGAUUAGAGCGCGUUUCUUUUCUUUAGGAGGACACAAACCUGGCAGAGAGACAACUCAGAUUAUUUAAGUAAAAGUUGCACCAAAUGAUCAAACUUUUUAUCUUUCGAUACGAUGUCUUGAAAUAAAACUUAUUCUGUGGGCUUAAUUCCGACAGAAUUUGGCUUAAUGUUAAAGACUGUUGUGCAAGUACCCUCUUGUAGCAGGAGUGAGCAGCUGCAGCUUUUUAAUUUAUUUUUCGUUAUUUGAUUUGUUUCUUGGAUUGACUUGGUGUCUGGAGCUUUGUGGUUAACAGUGAUCAUGUAAACAUGGUCUUUUGCCUCUUAUUUGCGAAGCUGGCAGCUGGUUGAAUUGAUAGGACUUUAUGGCUUGCCCAAAGUGGGAUUUUUGAUAGAGCAUAGGGUUAAAACCUCACCAUACACUAGCUAUUUCAGCGAACAAGUGUCUGUAGUCCGUUAUUACCCAUGAUUUUCUUUCAAAUUUCACAAUUUAGGCAGCUUGUAGAGUCAUUAGGAAGAUGCUUAAUCCCAAUGUCUUGGUUGGUUGCAUGAGAAACUGCCAUCGCUUAGAUGUGUUGGCGAAGUUCCUCCUCUGAUUUUUGUAGACUUGCCCUAAAGUUUCUCUCCGCUUUAACUCUUGUUGGGCUAUGCAUUAAAUGAUUCCUCCAACUUGUCUCCAUAUCAAUUUUUUCUCCCUGCAGCCUUCCACCACCCACUGCUGCUGUUGCAUCUGCUAAAGGUAGCCGUAUCCUGAUUCACUGCGUCUUCAUGUGUUGGGUAAGAAGUGUCAUUAGACUACUAACAAUGUAAACACCUUUUAAAUGCUUGAUCUAAUUUACCCAAAUGGUUCAUCAGUUUAGGACAGAAAAUCAUUGAAUUUGACAUUCUUGGGGUCAGUAACCUGACCUCUAAAUGUUUGGGAAACCAUGCAAAAGAUCGCAAGCUCUCUGCAUGACCCAACAGCAUCGAUGUUUGAGUUAUUUAAUUGCUCAAUUUUUAAAUCAGUCAAGAUUUUACGAGCUGGGUCUUCUUCACACAACAGAGAACAAGGUAAAUUGAGUCGACUCGUAACAUGGUAAGGCAUUUUGUCUUUCCCCUUCUUGUCUGUGUGUGAGGAAAUCUGGCCACGGAUCCUGACUGAGUGGCAUACCAUGGCUGCAGUUUCCAAAAUCAGACAAGGAUCCAUCUGAUUUUGUGACUCUGCCUGUCAUGAUAUGCAUGUAUCUUCCUCCGAAACAAAGGAUUGGAAUGGACAGGUUGUAGUGUAAAUCACAUCACUUGUAGGUGGUGAAGCAUUUGUUUAAAUUGGGGUCAAGCAUUUUCAGGUGUCUGCUUUGUCAAUACUCUGGUGCCACGUCUUCCUAAACACACGAGAAGCUCUGAAUUGUGAAACUGCUGCCUCUUGCAGAUGUUACAACAGCAAUGGCUGUUGAAAGGCUUGCAGGGAGAGAAAAUGAGAUCUGAGGACAGGAAAGUGGAAUUGAUUUCAUGCUUAGCAAAAUGAGGGUUUCAGCAGAGGACCUUUUUGUGGCAAGGCUACGGAAUCAGAAGGAACGUUUGUCUGGGCAACUGGGAGAUUUACAGUUUUUCAUGCAGCCACCCAAGACAUUGGGGUUAGCAUCAUCCCAAAUGGCUGGCAAAGAUUGCCUGUAACUGUCAGUGUAGGACAGGAAAGGCAGGUAUAGGUUAGGGAGGGCAUCCAUCGGUGAGAUCUGACUGGAUGUGAGGACCUGUCACACUUGACCAGAGAUGAAGGCUGCAGCACAUUCCUGGAUCAGAGGACUCCAUGUUGGACACCACGACCUGGAGAAGUCCCGUCCUGGAUGGCUGCGGUGAUGACCUAGCCCAAGAUGAACUGACCUUUCUACAACGAGGACUUCGCCCAAGAUGAACUGAUCCUUCUACGACGAGGACUUCGCCCAAGAUGAACCGACCCUUCUACGACGAGGACUUCGCCCAAGAUGAACCAACCUUUUCCACGGGAUGUCUUCAGAUGUUGGACCUUACCAAACUGAACUGUACACAUGCCUCAAUGGCUGCUACGUCACUCUGCUCAACAGGACAUGGUCACCGAGAUUUAAAUUUUUU
This is a long non-coding RNA of Solea solea (common sole), 3035 nucleotides long. RefSeq lists it as uncharacterized. The record is from RefSeq and is a predicted model, not a curated record. The transcript is spliced from 3 exons. NCBI's taxonomy places the organism in Eukaryota, Metazoa, Chordata, Actinopteri, Pleuronectiformes, Soleidae.